Molecule: ribosomal RNA, 425 nt
Filed under: uncultured bacterium
Lineage: Bacteria
Description: partial 16S ribosomal RNA
Rfam family: Bacterial small subunit ribosomal RNA
Source: RNAcentral
GUGGGGAAUCUUGCGCAAUGGGCGAAAGCCUGACGCAGCCAUGCCGCGUGAAUGAUGAAGGUCUUAGGAUUGUAAAAUUCUUUCACCGGGGACGAUAAUGUCGGUACCCGGAGAAGAAGCCCCGGCUAACUUCGUGCCAGCAGCCGCGGUAAUACGAAGGGGGCUAGCGUUGCUCGGAAUUACUGGGCGUAAAGGGCGCGUAGGCGGACAGUUUAGUCAGAGGUGAAAGCCCAGGGCUCAACCUUGGAAUUGCCUUUGAUACUGGCUGUCUUGAGUACGGGAGAGGUGAGUGGAACUCCGAGUGUAGAGGUGAAAUUCGUAGAUAUUCGGAAGAACACCAGUGGCGAAGGCGACUCACUGGCCCGUUACUGACGCUGAGGCGCGAAAGCGUGGGGAGCAAACAGGAUUAGAAACCCGGGUAGUCC